AUUGAACGCUGGCGGCAUGCCUUACACAUGCAAGUCGAACGGUAACAGGUCUUCGGAUGCUGACGAGUGGCGAACGGGUGAGUAAUACAUCGGAACGUGCCCGAUCGUGGGGGAUAACGGAGCGAAAGCUUUGCUAAUACCGCAUACGAUCUACGGAUGAAAGCAGGGGGCCGCAAGGCCUUGCGCGGACGGAGCGGCCGAUGGCAGAUUAGGUAGUUGGUGGGAUAAAAGCUUACCAAGCCGACGAUCUGUAGCUGGUCUGAGAGGACGACCAGCCACACUGGGACUGAGACACGGCCCAGACUCCUACGGGAGGCAGCAGUGGGGAAUUUUGGACAAUGGGCGAAAGCCUGAUCCAGCCAUGCCGCGUGCAGGAUGAAGGCCUUCGGGUUGUAAAGCACUUUUGGCGGGAACGAAACGGCGCUGGUUAAUACCUGGCGCUAAUGACGGUACCCGCAGAAUAAGCACCGGCUAACUACGUG
Molecule: ribosomal RNA, 482 nt
Filed under: uncultured bacterium
Lineage: Bacteria
Description: bacterial SSU rRNA
Rfam family: Bacterial small subunit ribosomal RNA
Source: RNAcentral